Molecule: long non-coding RNA, 1374 nt
Organism: Trifolium pratense (red clover)
Lineage: Eukaryota; Viridiplantae; Streptophyta; Magnoliopsida; Fabales; Fabaceae
Exons: 3
Source: RefSeq, a predicted model, not a curated record
AAAAUAAUGAAAGGUUACUGCUUUUGCCAUAAAUUAAUUCCAUCAAAGGUUGCUGAUUUUGUUUGGCAGGUACUUUUGUGUCCCUUCUAGAUUUAAUCUUCACAAAAGACAAGGGGGAUUAUUUAUCUUGAUGCUUGCACUUGUUGUGGCAGUUGCGGAAUGGCAAAAUCGUCUCAAUGUGUCUUCUUCGAAUGCCCAAUCUUUUCAAAUGUUUAGUAUGGAAUUGCGAGAUGGUUAGGAUUAGCUGUGGCGUUUCACAAUGAAGUGAAGCAUCAUUUCUUUAAUUUCAUUGGGGUGUUGAAGAAAGGGAGAGUAUAGAAACAAUGAUUCAAAUUUUCUAUCUCUCAAUGGUUUUCAAAUCGUUUUUGUGCACCGGCCCUUAGUUCUGGUCAAGGUGCGCGUGUUGGUGUGUUGGCGAGUAAGGUGUCGCUGGGUUCGUCUACUGCAUCAUUAUUUUCCUGUGGUUGCAGAUUGAGAUGUGUUGUUGUCUUCUCUGUGUUGUUUUAGAAGCAUCGUGGACUAAUCGUCUCGGAACUUUGAGCUAGUGCUUGGGCAGUGCAGAAUUAUUUGUCUCUCUUGCUUCAAUUUCUGAAUUAGACAAAUGCAGGAUUUGAAAAUACUCAUUAUGGCAUUAAAUACUUACAAAGCAAUCUAAGGCUCAAAUACUUACAAAGGAAAAUUAUGUUUCACUACAAUAGUUUUGGUCUAUGGUGGCACCGCUUUUCUUCCAUCUAUGUUAUUGAGGUUCACUAAUCUAGAAACAAUACUACAUGUUCAACUUCAUCAAAGGGAGUUCUAUUUUCACCCUUAUUGUCUUGAUAGUACUUUAUAAGAUGGAGGAGGAAUGUGAAAUGUAUAGAGGGGAGGCUCACAAGGCACCCAUUCUAGCAGCUAUAAAGUUGGGAAUGUUGUCCUUUUGUACUGAUUUGCAAAAAUGUGAGAUUUCCAUCGAGCAAAAGUGAAGCUCUCUUUGGGAAAUUGAUACAGCUCGUCACCACUACUGUCCUCUUGUCUCACGACAAGUGUUUUGAUCUUUGGCACAUUACUCCUUGUUUUCCUUUUCUUCGGUUUUAUAUUUAAUCUGUGUUUAUGGAUUUUGACAUGCUUUUACAUGUACUUUUAGGUCCGCUUUGUCUCCUGAAACUGAUUUGACAGUCAAGGCCAAAACAAGUGAUGUUAAUGUAGGUGAUUUUAGUGUUGGUAAUGUUGAUGAUUUUGAUGUUGCAAAUUGAUAGAUGAUUAGUUCUACUGCACUGAUAUUGAUGUCCUGUGGUCAUAAUUUACAUGUACGCAGUCAGACAUGUACCUAAAUUCAACACAAAUAGCAGUUCAAUGCUUAUUUUAUGGUAUGGCCUCUUCUUAAGUAUUUUAUGA